This 2373-nucleotide long non-coding RNA is filed under the name Cicer arietinum (chickpea). RNAcentral's name for it is "long non-coding RNA (CARI_LNC000197)". The record is from RNAcentral. Lineage: Eukaryota; Viridiplantae; Streptophyta; Magnoliopsida; Fabales; Fabaceae.
UUUGAUUCGUAAGUUGAAGAGAUUUGAGAGUUAGGAAAGUGAUGUGAUGUUCUAUGGGCUCUUCCCUUGACACGUGUCCCCCUAAUGGUGACGUCAUUUGAGUGAUAAUUGUAGUUUCGCAUUGUUUCAAGGUUGGAUCAUAGUUGUUGGUUCCUAUCAUUGUAUUCCCACUAUUUGAUCACUGGUAGUAUAUAAGGGGUUAUCCCAGAUUUUGGAGGGAUUUUCAUUUCCCUUAUCUUCUUUCCCUUUCAAUUCUCUCUAGUUUUAUCAUGAUAAAGACUUAUCUUUGCCUCAAUUCUCGUUAGUGGUGCUCGUUCCCUAUUUAUGACAAAUACACUACUUUAGAGUUCUAAUCAUUCGUUUUAUCGUGCCUUCUUAUUAUAUAUCAAUUUUUCUGAGCUUUUCACAGUUUUAAAUUCAAAGCCAUACUUCUCUGGGUUUUCGGAGCUUAUUUUCAUGGCCACCAAUGGUGGUGGUUGAUGGUCCCACAGUGGUGGGUUAACUCCUUCAACUUGGUAGACAUUUUCUUUAAGGAAGGCAAAGGUUCUCGUAUCCGCCGCAGAUUAGUCUAGAAAAUGCAAUGUUUUACUUGACACGAGAAAAAAGUUAGAAGAUUCUUAUUUUUGAUGUGGUGGUGAUCGGCGAUAGUCCAAUGUUCCAUCGUGUCCUUUGUUCAAUGGCACGGUGGUUCCCCAUUUUACCCUUUCACUUACAAAUUUUCAGUUGAAAGGAGGAUUUGGAUGUUGAAUUCAUUUUCCUCUUCUUCUGCCUUUUAAGUCGUUAUGGUGAAAGCAACACACUUGUUGUACGAAUUAAUUUUCCAAGUAGAUAAGGAAAGUUUCAAAAGGGUAGCACAAGAAAUGCUAAAAGGGAUGUCAGCCUUUAAGAAUGGGAAUGCCAAAUACUAUUUUACUUAAGAGGGUCUGUUAUGAGAACCCCACAAUCUAGAUUCCCGCUUACGGGGUCAUUUUUAAAGACAUGGGCUUCUAGUUGACUUUCAUAAACUUUGAGAAAGACGUGUUUUAGCAUCAGGAUAUGUGUCUUUAGAUUCCUUUGAAUUUGAUAGGAUACGUAUAAGCCUUCCAGUGAGCGUGGGACCAUGUACACACAGGGCCAAUAGUCGGUUUUUUUUCUAUCUUUGAUAUCCUUUGGAACAAGGACACUACUUGCCAAACAUGGGUCUCCUUCAAGCAACCGAAAAGGUUCUCCGCACCAUACAUUGAUUCCUAUAGUGGCUUCAAGAGUAGGUAUUACGUGAUACGCCCGUUGAUGGAAAGGCCAAGGAAAACGUAGAGGUAAAUGAAGGGAUCCUUGACAAUGAUGGCUUGCCCAUCAUCGACUAGGGAUGGGAGAUCGUCGAGAAUGGCAUUCCCCCAUUCCUUUUCUUUUGGUCGAACAUACAUUUUAAAAAGAAAUAGGAGUGAGAUGGUUUCCAAGUUGGAGGACCUUAGUGUCCUAGAGGCAUUGGGUCAGAACAACUUACUUCCCCUCAUGCUAGCUAGCUUCGACAGAACAUCGGCUUUUGUGUUUUGUUCUCAAAGAAUGUGAUGAAAUGUAAUAUUUUUGAAUUUAGUCAUUAUUUAAUUUACUUCUGUGAUAUACCUUUGUAACGUUAGAUCUUUUGCUUGUUUAAAUCACUUGAUUUGGCAUACGGUGAAUUGUGAAUAUGUAUUAAACGUAACCUCGUUUUCACAAAAUUUAUGUGCCAAUCGUAACCCGACGAGGUUGGCCUCGUAUUCUACUUAAUUGUUAGAUGUUUGGAAUGAAUGGGGGAGGCUUCAAUAACCAAACCUUCUUCGUUUUCAUGUAGGAUACCAAUUCCACUUCCCUUAGUGUUGGAGGAUCUUAUGAAGAAGAUGAUCCAUUUGAUCCUCAACUUAGAAAAUGUUGGGGUCAUUUCGGUAACGAAGUCGCCGAGGGCUAGAGCCUUUAAAGAUUUCCUUGAAUCGAAAGUGAUGCCAAGCUCAAAAGUUCAACUGACCAUUUUUCCAUUCUUCUGGAAAGGCCUAGCCAAUAAAGGAUUUAUUUAAUCGAUUGUUUUGUCAUGAUCACUAGUGUGUAAGCUAAACAAUAAUGCCUUAGCCUUAUUACUACGAUAAGUAAAGCUAAAACAACUUUCUCUAACCACUGAUAUCUGAGUUCAAGAUCCUGCAAAGCCUAACUGAUGAAUUAAACAGAUUUUUGUCCUUCGAUCCUUUCUCGUAUUAAUGUUGUGUUCACUUCUUUCAAUUAAACAUCAAGGUAUAAGUAAUGUGUUUCUUCUAUGGUUGGUCGAAAAAGAACUAGAGGUUGGGAAACUAUCUCUUUUAAUCAGGUCAUUGCGACUUCGCAGUCGUUUGUCCAUUAGAAUGUCACAUCUUUCCUUAACAGUUU